GGGCGCGGUAACACAGAACUAAGGGCUGGUCCCUCCGCGCUUGUGCUACAGCCGCUGAGCUGACUAGAGGUUGGAUGUCGUGGCACCCCUUAAUCUACUCAGAUCUCGGCCUCUGGGCCCAGGUAUGUGCUGUGUGCUAAGUCGCUUCAGUAGUGUCCGGCUCUGCGACCCCAUGGCUCCUUUGUCCAUGGAAUUUUCCAGGAUAAUUCACCACUGGUCCACCUGGGAAUCCGGUGCAAGCAGCUGAAUGGUUCCAGUCCUGACGAUUUCCCAGGAGGUGUACACUACUUAUGGCUGGCAUUCCAGAUAACAGGCCCAACUUGGAGAAAUUCAGCACCUCUAUCCAGGAAGGUUUUAAUUACAAAGGCAUCUUCAGUUCGUGCAACUAAAUGACAGGGGUCCAGGAUAGUAACUGAACCAGGAAUGGCUUCUCUCCUGUGGCCGCAGAUUCAUGCUCUACCAUCUACUAUCCGAACAGCGUCUUCCAAGAUCUUCUAAAUUCCACGGCCCCCAAAGACAAGUGUGAAUAAUUUGCACAGGAGACCUACCUGUAGGUAGACUUUGUCUUUAGAAACUGAUGUGGUUUUAUAGCCCCCAGAAAAUUGUACUUACAGGUGCUUCCACUUCAUGCAAUUAAAUGGAUCUUCUGAAAAUUAUGUCCUCUCCGUAGACAAAGGUAUCUUCUGCCGGGAUAAUCUCAUCUCACCUCAAACCACAUUUCCUCAAACACACCCCACCUGGGUGGACACACAUCCACACCUGCCAUAACUGCUUGUCAAAGGGGAAGCCAAGUCAGGCCUGACUUCUCCGAGCGCUCAUCUAAGAAAAGCUGUCAGGAAGCUAGCAUUCCUGAAGACCCACUGUGUGCUGUGUUCUUCACAAUCAUGAUCUUAGCCUGCCAGCAACUCUCCAAGGUAGUUAGCUCUUACCCUCUUUGUACACAUAAGGGAGCUAAGGCUCAGGGAUUUGGGUGACUUGCCUCUGGUCAUGCAGCUGGUAAGCAGUAGGAAUUGGAUUUGAACCCAGAUAUAUUUGACUCUCUGUCAAACCUCUGUGCUGUGGUAGAUGUAUUUCCUCACCUUCUUCACAUCAGUCUUUCCCCUUCUCCCCUUCAUCCCUCCACCCCCACUGCUGCUACUGCUGC
Capra hircus (goat) is the source of this 1144-nucleotide long non-coding RNA. RefSeq lists it as uncharacterized. The transcript has 4 exons. The record is from RefSeq and is a predicted model, not a curated record. NCBI's taxonomy places the organism in Eukaryota, Metazoa, Chordata, Mammalia, Artiodactyla, Bovidae.